GUUUCAUUUGGAUUUUUGCUUUUAUUCACUGCUACUGGAAGUCUGCUCAAUCUGCAGAGCAGCCUGAAUGCUGAUGAAGGCAUGGGUCUGGCCUCCAACAGCGUGACCUUUUCCUCCAUCAUCCUGUCCUCCAUGUUCAUCACCCCAACAGCCAUCAGGUACCUGGGAUGCAAAUGGACCAUCUUUGCUGGGAUGGCAUGCAAUGUGGUGUACACCGUACGACAUUUUUUAUCCAAGCUGUGAACAGCACAGGUGAUGAUUUACUGUUCUGUGGAGUGGACAGCUGUGGUGCCCCCGAUGUUUCUUCUGGAAAUUCC
Long non-coding RNA from Alosa alosa (allis shad), 317 nucleotides. RefSeq lists it as uncharacterized. Lineage: Eukaryota; Metazoa; Chordata; Actinopteri; Clupeiformes; Clupeidae. The record is from RefSeq and is a predicted model, not a curated record. The transcript has 3 exons.